This is a non-coding RNA of Pantoea sp. 3.5.1, 59 nucleotides long. The record is from Rfam. Lineage: Bacteria; Pseudomonadati; Pseudomonadota; Gammaproteobacteria; Enterobacterales; Erwiniaceae.
CGUGUGGUGCUGUGCGGGUUACGACCUGGCACGGAGAGCGACACGGCCUUAUCUGAGGU